CCGUAAUAAACUGGACUACAUGCUUAUCUCCCACCUCCUCCACUAUCUGAUCAUAUAGUCGUACGUAGAAGUUUGCAUCCUUCUUCGUCCCUGAUACGUCUUUGCUAGACAAAAAAGCUGUACCUUUUGGGGAAUAGGCCAAGAAGUUUAAAAACUCCUUUUUGCUAACUUUAUUCAACCAACCAUCACUCAUGAGAGUAAUUCCUGUCCUUGGCCAACUCUGUUUAUAUUCUUCAAUCCACUUUUUAACUUCCUCUACCUCUU
RNAcentral lists this long non-coding RNA (264 nucleotides) under Amborella trichopoda. RNAcentral describes it as "long non-coding RNA (ATRI_LNC000544)". Lineage: Eukaryota; Viridiplantae; Streptophyta; Magnoliopsida; Amborellales; Amborellaceae. The record is from RNAcentral.